This 74-nucleotide small RNA is filed under the name Xanthomonas citri pv. aurantifolii. RNAcentral's name for it is "sX9". The record is from RNAcentral. Lineage: Bacteria; Pseudomonadati; Pseudomonadota; Gammaproteobacteria; Lysobacterales; Lysobacteraceae.
AUGCACACGCAUACGCUGCGGCUCCUGUGUUCCGUCGACGCCUGCCGGCGACUGCUCGUUACGGCUUGGUCGCC